This 346-nucleotide unclassified non-coding RNA is filed under the name soil metagenome. RNAcentral describes it as "partial contains 5.8S ribosomal RNA, internal transcribed spacer 2, and large subunit ribosomal RNA". The stretch from base 1 to 120 matches the Rfam family "5.8S ribosomal RNA", at positions 35 to 154 of the family's 154-position model. The record is from RNAcentral.
GAUGAAGAACGUAGCGAAAUGCGAUAAGUAAUGUGAAUUGCAGAAUUCAGUGAAUCAUCGAACCUUUGAACGCACAUUGCGCCCAUUAGUAUUCUAGUGGGCAUGCCUGUUCGAGCGUCAUUUCAACCCUUAAGCCUAGCUUAGUGUUGGGAGCCUACUGCUUUUACUAGCUGUAGCUCCUGAAAUACAACGGCGGAUCUGCGAUAUCCUCUGAGCGUAGUAAUUUUUAUCUCGCUUUUGACUGGAGUUGCAGCGUCUUUAGCCGCUAAAUCCCCCAAUUUUUAAUGGUUGACCUCGGAUCAGGUAGGAAUACCCGCUGAACUUAAGCAUAUCAAUAAGCGGAGGA